AUGCCCAAGCCGCCGCCGGUCGUCGAGCUCCCGAUACGCAAGACCGUCCCGCUCAUCGACAUCGACGGCGACGACGACGAUGACGGAGGUCGCAGCGGCCGUCAUGGCGGAAGCCCCGCUACGGGGGGUCGUUCCGCCGGUCCGGUACGCGGUGAAGGCGGAAGCCGCGCUAAGAGUGGACGCUCCGGCCGCUCGGAACGCGGUGAAGGCGGAGGACGCGCUAAGGGAGACCGCCCCGGCAAUCGCGGACGCGGUCGGGAGGGUCCGUUGGUCGGUGGUCGCGCGGCGGCGGGAUCGCCGCCACCGCGACGAAACCCGGCCACGGCGUCCUCUCCGUCCGUGGUCCGCUCCGGCGCCGCGAAUCCUCCGUCCAUCCAGCUCGACAGCGACAGCGACGACGACGACAUGCGCGGCCGGAGCUCGAACAAGGUAGCCGCACGCCAUCAUGGCCGGGGGGCGGAUCCUGUCUCCGAUAGUGGAGCCACAUAUCUCUACUGUCCGAGCAGCGAUUCGGAGGAUUCACGCGCGAGAGGUCGCAAGAGGGCGGCGCCCUCCUCGCCCGGUGGCUCCAGGAAGGCGAAGAAGCAGAGACGAGAGUCGUCGAGCGGUGCCAAGGCGCACGGGGCGGGGGCUCGCGCUCUCGCGACGAGGCCUGUCGACGAACCGCGAACCUCCCACAAGUCGUCGAGGAAGCACAAGAGACUCGAGGCCGUCCGUCGUCCUCGGUCUCAUCAUUCCAGCGGCGAUGGACGGCUCGGGAGAUCCGGCCAAGGGGGCGGCGACAGGGGUCGGCGUGAUGCUGCGCCGGCGAGGCAGCUCGGCGCCGGCGCAGUUGUUGCGUCAAGCCCUCGUUCGCGGAGCGGCAACCGAGGAAAAGUGGCUGCGAAGUAUGCUGCACCAGUGGUUCCCGAAGAUAGCGUGGACGAAGGUGAUGGUGAGGAGAUGGAAGACACCAGCUCAGAUGACGAUGGGAGAUUCGGCCAUAGGGGCCGGCAUGGUGCUGCGCCGCCGAGGCAGGCCGGCGCGGUUGUUGCAUCUCGUAAUCGUUCACGCGACGGCCACCGAAGAAGUAGAACUGUGGUAACUGAUGACAGCGGGGAUGACGGUGAAGGUGAAGAGACGAGCAGUUCAGAUGACAAUGAUGAGGGAUCCCGAGAUGACGAGGAGGAGGAUGGGAUCAAGGGGACGAACACGGAUGACGGAAGUGGCGAUAGUGAGGAAGAGGAUGAGGAGUAUGAGGAGGAGGAUGUGAUGAAAGGGACGAACAAGGAUGUUGAAAGUGACGAUAGGGAGGAGGAGGAGGGUGAUGAUAGCGAGGAUGAGGAUGAAGAUGUAAUGGAGAGGAAGAACAAGGGGGGUGAUGAUGUGAUGAGGAGGAAGAAGGAGGAUGUGGAUGUGAUGAAGGGGAAGAACAAGGAGGAUGACAAUGGUAAUAGCCACGGCAGAUGCAAAUCCGUAGAGGAGGAGGUCGGUGGGGAGGACGACGGAAACAGCACUCAUGACGACAGUUCUGAUGCCAAUGCUGACGAAGAGGAGUCUGACGACACUACGGAGACAGAGACAGAGGAGGAGGAGGAGGCGGAGGAGGAAGAAGAAGAAGAAUCUGACGAGGCAGAGCAGGACCGGCGUGUCGCGCCUAGCCGCAACGGCGAGGCAGGGCAGGACCGGCGUGUCGCGCCUGGCAGCAACGGCGAGGCAGGGCAGGACCAGCGUGUCGCGCCAAGCAGCAACGGCGAGGCCGGUGGGAGGGCCAGACCAGCCGUCGAGGGUUUGCCAAGAAUCAGAAAGAGGAGAUUCGAGGGGUUGUGGAUCGUCGAGGAGCCCGACACCACCGCCCCCCCUCCCGGCCGGGGUCUCAUCAGUGAGCGGACACGGUCGCACCUGAGCUGCUCCAACAAGAAACUGCUGAAACGUGGUACUGUAAGCAGGCCGGUCCUGCUCGACACAUCUUCCUCCGGCUCCGAGCCAGAGGAAGCCGUGCAACCGCCUCAGCCAACCAGCUGGGCGGCCGAGGACGACAGCUCCGGCGAAGACAGAAGGCCGGCGAAGAGGAGGAAGAAGAAGAGACGGUGCCGGGAGCAGAUCGCCCAAGGCGGGCGCUCAGAGGAAGAGGACGACCACGGCAACGACCCUGACGCUGAACCUGACGACGACAGAACGUUCCCGAGGAACGCCAGGAAGGGGCCGAGCUCAAGCCGGCCGAAGACCGGAGCGUCAAACCGGCAGCAGUCUGCUGCCAAGGAACGUGGCAAAGCCCACGCUGGCUCUUCUUCCAACCCACGACGCGCCAAGAAUCACGCUGCAAGCACAGCAGAGGGGCGCGGUCUGCAGGAUGACAUUUUCUUCAAGAAAAGCUCCCUGUCUCAUCGCAAGGGGAAGCAUACGGAGGAGGAGGACAUCCCUUGCAAUGAUCUGCUCUCCUCCUUAUUCGACGGGAUACCGAGCUACCGGAACGGCUCUGCUCCUGCCGAUGCACAGCAGGGCGGCGGCGACACGAUGCCUCUGGUGUUCAAGUUCGGGGAGGAAGCUGAAGUGAAAUCAGAGCAUGACGAGUUUGAGGAUCAACAGUGGGAAGACAUGGAUCUUGCCUCUCAAGCCAACAAUGCCAAUGCUCACAGCUCCCAGGAGGUUGAAGAGAGCCAGGGGCAAGAUAUUCCAUCAGACCAAAAAACUUUAUGCAGUCAAGGGAAGCAUGAUUUAUUUACCGAUGACCAAAUUGGAACUUGGUGCAAGCACUGCAGAUUUGUUCUUGAAAUUAAAUAUGUAAUGGCCCCUAUGGGGAAUUAUUCAGCGGAAAGGGAACCAACGGCUCGCGAGCUGAACAUGGAUAAUAUUAUUUUUAAUGGCAUCCUAACAACAAUGGGGUAUGAAGGAGAGUACAUCACUGGCAGUCAUAAAAGUGGCCCUGUAUGGAAUCUCAUUCCUGGUGUCCGAGAAGACAUGUUCCCACACCAGCAGGAAGCCUUUGAAUUCAUGUGGAAGAAACUGGCCGGAGGUAUUGACAUUGAAGAGGUGAAGAAGUUUGUGAAAACUGAUACUCUAAGUGGCUGUGUGAUCUCUCACGCCCCAGGGACGGGGAAGACCAGAUUAGCAAUCACAUUUGUUCAAUCUUACCUCGAGCUUUUCCCGCAGUGUUUUCCGGUGAUCAUUGCCCCCAAGGGGAUGCUUGACACAUGGGAAACUGAGUUCAGGAAAUGGAAUGUGAAGAUACCUUUCCACAUACUGAAUUCCAGAGAUAUCCACUGGCAUGGAGAUAAAACCGUCGAAAAACUGGCCUCGAAUGAUAAGGAAUUGGCCCGGAGGCUGUCCAUUAGCAGCAUUGACAAGAAUUAUAUGCGCGCGCUGAAAUUGCGAUCGUGGGCUGAGGGGAGUAGCAUCAUUGGACUCAGCUACAGCCUGUUCCAGAAGCUCACCAAAGGAGAAGGCAAUGAUGAUGACAAGCUGAGGCAGAUGCUUCUUCAAAGGCCUGACUUGCUGAUCCUGGAUGAAGGACACACGCCAAGGAACAAGGAGAGCAAUAUUUUUAAGGCUCUUGCUGAAGUUCGGACAAAAAGACGAAUAAUCCUAUCAGGGACUCCAUUUCAAAAUAACUUUGAAGAGCUUCGAAGCGUCUUUAGCUUGUUACUUCCUGCAAACUUUGAAGCCAUGGAUUUCUUUCCUUCUUCGAAACUACACAACGUGACAGAUGUGAUGGUAGAUGAGAUCAGGAAAAGAUUGGACCCUUAUGUGCACAUCCAUAAUGGCGACAUUCUUCAUAAAUCCCUUAAAGGACUAAGAGAAUCUGUUGUGAUUCUGAAUCCUCUUCCCAGCCAGAAGAGGAUCAUCGCAAUGAUGGAGAAACAUAAGACACGUGGCAAACGUCCUCAAAAAGAAAAGACACAUGGCGGCACUUUGGAGUGGGAAUACAAGAUAUCUCUUGCGUCUGUACAUCCGUCCCUCGUUGCUGGCAUGAAAAAGUUGCCAAAAGAAGUAACAUCUGUUGUGGACGAGCUUCCAUUGGAGAGGUUACGGUUGAAGCCAAGUGAAGGAGUUAAGACGAGGUUUGUGUACGAGGUUGUGCGUCUAUGUCAAGCUUUAAAAGAGCGAGUGCUUGUGUUUAGCCAGUUCCUUGAACCACUGGACUUGAUCAUGCAACAGCUGAGAAAAGAGUUCAACUGGACUAAAGGCAAAGAGAUCAUGUAUAUGAGUGGAAAUGUCUCCCCUAAAACCCGCAAAGCCUUGAUGGUGGCCUUCAAUGAUGUGGAGAGCGAGGCCAAGGUGAUGCUUGCAUCGACCAAGGCGUGUGGAGAAGGUAUCACCCUCGUUGGAGCAUCGCGUGUGGUGCUCCUCGAUGUUGUGUGGAACCCUUCUGUUGGAAGGCAGGCGAUUGGACGGGCAUAUCGUAUUGGUCAACAAAAGAUUGUCCAUACAUACAAUCUAAUCGCAGAAGGAACACAAGAGAAGGCCAAAUAUGACACACAAGCUAAGAAGGACCAAAUGUCCAAAUUGCUGUUUUCAAGUGAGCCACAGCCUACAGAGUGCAGCCGGUCAUCAGAAUUUAUUUCCAAUGACAAGAUUUUGGAACAGAUGACUGAAGAUGAAGAUCUGAAAGAGAUGUUUGUGAGUAUUCUCCCGUCGCAGUGGUGA
RNAcentral lists this ribosomal RNA (4626 nucleotides) under Triticum aestivum (bread wheat). Its description in RNAcentral is "partial small subunit ribosomal RNA". The record is from RNAcentral. Lineage: Eukaryota; Viridiplantae; Streptophyta; Magnoliopsida; Poales; Poaceae.